This 744-nucleotide ribosomal RNA is filed under the name uncultured bacterium. RNAcentral describes it as "bacterial SSU rRNA". It matches the Rfam family "Bacterial small subunit ribosomal RNA", at positions 8 to 796 of the family's 1533-position model. The record is from RNAcentral.
AGAGUUUGAUCAUGGCUCAGAACGAACGCUGGCGGCAGGCCUCAAACAUGCAAGUCUAGGGGGUGUAGCAAUACAUCACCGGCGGACGGGUGCGUAACACGUGGGAAUAUACCUUUUGGUUCGGAACAACGCAGGGAAACUUGCGCUAAUACCGAAUGUGCCCUUACGGGGAAAGAUUUAUCGCCAAAGGAUUAGCCCGCGUCCGAUUAGCUAGUUGGUGAGGUAAUGGCUCACCAAGGCUCCGAUCGGUAGCUGUUCUGAGAGGAAGAUCAGCCACACUGGGACUGAGACACGGCCCAGACUCCUACGGGAGGCAGCAGUUGGGAAUCUUGGACAAUGGGGGAAACCCUGAUCCAGCCAUGCCGCGUGAGUGAUGAAGGCCUUCGGGUUGUAAAACUCUUUCGACGGGGACGAUAAUGACGGUACCCGUAGAAGAAGCUCCGGCUAACUUCGUGCCAGCAGCCGCGGUAAUACGAAGGGGGCUAGCGUUGUUCGGAAUUACUGGGCGUAAAGCGCGCGCAGGCGGUUUUUCAAGUCAGUGGUGAAAGCCCGGAGCUCAACUCCGGAAAUGCCAUUGAAACUGUGAAACUUGAGGAUGAGAGAGGUGAGUGGAAUUCCCAGUGUAGAGGUGAAAUUCGUAGAUAUUGGGAAGAACACCGGUGGCGAAGGCGGCUCACUGGCUCAUUACUGACGCUCAGGCGCGACAGCGUGGGGAUCAAACAGGAUUAGAUACCCUAGUAGUCC